This 492-nucleotide ribosomal RNA is filed under the name uncultured bacterium. Its description in RNAcentral is "partial 16S ribosomal RNA". It matches the Rfam family "Bacterial small subunit ribosomal RNA", at positions 29 to 507 of the family's 1533-position model. The record is from RNAcentral.
AGUGAACGCUGGCGGUAGGCCUAACACAUGCAAGUCGAACGGCAGCACAGUAAGAGCCUGCUCUUACGGGUGGCGAGUGGCGGACGGGUGAGGAAUACAUCGGAAUCUACUUUUUCGUGGGGGAUAACGUAGGGAAACUUACGCUAAUACCGCAUACGACCUACGGGUGAAAGCAGGGGAUCUUCGGACCUUGCGCGAUUGAAUGAGCCGAUGUCGGAUUAGCUAGUUGGCGGGGUAAAGGCCCACCAAGGCGACGAUCCGUAGCUGGUCUGAGAGGAUGAUCAGCCACACUGGAACUGAGACACGGUCCAGACUCCUACGGGAGGCAGCAGUGGGGAAUAUUGGACAAUGGGCGCAAGCCUGAUCCAGCCAUACCGCGUGGGUGGAGAAGGCCUUCGGGUUGUAAAGCCCUUUUGUUGGGAAAGAAAAGCAGCAGGUUAAUACCCCGCUGUUCUGACGGUACCCAAAGAAUAAGCACCGGCUAACUUCGUG